Molecule: ribosomal RNA, 604 nt
Filed under: uncultured bacterium
Lineage: Bacteria
Description: bacterial SSU rRNA
Rfam family: Bacterial small subunit ribosomal RNA
Source: RNAcentral
AUUGAACGCUGGCGGCAGGCCUAACACAUGCAAGUCGAACGGUAGCACAGAGGAGCUUGCUCCUUGGGUGACGAGUGGCGGACGGGUGAGUAAUGUCUGGGAAACUGCCCGAUGGAGGGGGAUAACUACUGGAAACGGUAGCUAAUACCGCAUAAUGUCGCAAGACCAAAGAGGGGGACCUUCGGGCCUCUUGCCAUCGGAUGUGCCCAGAUGGGAUUAGCUAGUAGGUGGGGUAACGGCUCACCUAGGCGACGAUCCCUAGCUGGUCUGAGAGGAUGACCAGCCACACUGAAACUGAGACACGGUCCAGACUCCUACGGGAGGCAGCAGUGGGGAAUAUUGCACAAUGGGCGCAAGCCUGAUGCAGCCAUGCCGCGUGUAUGAAGAAGGCCUUCGGGUUGUAAAGUACUUUCAGCGAGGAGGAAGGUGUUGUGGUUAAUAACCGCAGCAAUUGACGUUACUCGCAGAAGAAGCACCGGCUAACUCCGUGCCAGCAGCCGCGGUAAUACGGAGGGUGCAAGCGUUAAUCGGAAUUACUGGGCGUAAAGCGCACGCAGGCGGUCUGUCAAGUCGGAUGUGAAAUCCCCGGGCUCAACCUGGGAAC